RNAcentral lists this small RNA (176 nucleotides) under Chrysemys picta bellii (western painted turtle). Its description in RNAcentral is "TUC338 (ENSCPBG00000024516.1)". Lineage: Eukaryota; Metazoa; Chordata; Testudines; Emydidae. The record is from RNAcentral.
CUAGCAGCUCUGAAGAGUGAAGACCUCUAUUUAGCCACAGAACAGAUAUGGCACAGGUAGCAGCAGGGAAAGUUUUUGACACUGCUCCACUAAUGUGCUUCAACCCUGAGUAGGGAAUACCAUCCUCUGGAAGUGAGAGCAGUUUAGACUUCAUGUUCUUGAAGUCACUAGCUUCU